AGGAAUGCCUAUUGGAUCUGCAGAGGAAAUGGAAAUGAACUGUGGGGCUAGGGUCUGGUUCUAAGAAUGUGAGAACAGAAGCUACAAGGUUUCCUAAAAAUGGAUCUCAGAAGCCUAAUUAUAUUAUAAUUGCUCCUGCCAAGCAAGUUGCAAGGUCAGUCUGACUCUGAAGACUGAUGAUCAAGCUAAAGCUUCAUACAUGAUUGGCAACUAAUAUCUGUUACUGAACUGUGAACAGCAAUGAAGGAGACGCUGCCAACUGUAAACCAGCCGUACGCAAUGGAGAGGAAAAAUGACAAACACGGAGCUACUUAAAAGCAGGAGCGGCACCUCAGGAAGAAACUGACUGGGCUCCAUCGCUGCAGAACUGAUAUAUGUCACUUUCCCUUGUGUUAUGUUUCAACUACCUAGAAAAUUAUAUAAUACACAAAAAAUUCAUAUAUACAGACAAAUGUCAUUACACAGCGAUAAUUUCUUAUGUAUGCACGUUAGAUAAACUCUUGCACAUGUUUAAAAUGAGAUACAUAUGAGAUUGGUUAUUACAGUAUUGUUUGUAGAAAGCAAGUGUUUGAAAAUCAACUGAAGAAGGUAAAUUAA
Eptesicus fuscus (big brown bat) is the source of this 597-nucleotide long non-coding RNA. RefSeq lists it as uncharacterized. The transcript has 3 exons. The record is from RefSeq and is a predicted model, not a curated record. NCBI's taxonomy places the organism in Eukaryota, Metazoa, Chordata, Mammalia, Chiroptera, Vespertilionidae.